GUGAACGCUGGCGGCGUGCCUAAUACAUGCAAGUCGAGCGAACGGACGAGAAGCUUGCUUCUCUGAUGUUAGCGGCGGACGGGUGAGUAACACGUGGAUAACCUACCUAUAGGACUGGGAUAACUUCGGGAAACCGGAGCUAAUACCGGAUGAUAUUUUGAACCGCAUGGUUCAAAAGUGAAAGACGGUCUUGCUGUCACUUAUAGAUGGAUCCGCGCUGCAUUAGCUAGUUGGUAAGGUAACGGCUUACCAAGGCAACGAUGCAUAGCCGACCUGAGAGGGUGAUCGGCCACACUGGAACUGAGACACGGUCCAGACUCCUACGGGAGGCAGCAGUAGGGAAUCUUCCGCAAUGGGCGAAAGCCUGACGGAGCAACGCCGCGUGAGUGAUGAAGGUCUUCGGAUCGUAAAACUCUGUUAUUAGGGAAGAACAUAUGUGUAAGUAACUGUGCACAUCUUGACGGUACCUAAUCAGAAAGCCACGGCUAACUACGUG
RNAcentral lists this ribosomal RNA (496 nucleotides) under uncultured bacterium. RNAcentral describes it as "partial 16S ribosomal RNA". It matches the Rfam family "Bacterial small subunit ribosomal RNA", at positions 29 to 507 of the family's 1533-position model. The record is from RNAcentral.